AAAACAUGGUCUUUUGUUUAUAUAAAAGAUCUGGCCUGCCCAAUGAUGAUUUUAAUGGCUGCAGUAUUUUGACUGUACAAAGGUAGCAUAAUCAUUUGUCUUUUAAUUGAAGUCUGGAAUGAAUGGUUGGAUGAAAAAUUUACUUUCUUUAUUUUAAGUAUAAAAUUUAAUUUUUAAGUCAAAAAGCUUAAAUAUAAAUAUAGGACGAGAAGACCCUAUAGAACUUUAUUUAUUAUAAAUGUUUAUUAUUUUGUUAAUUAUGAUUAUACGUUUUUAUAUAAAUUUUAUUGGGGUGAUAAAAAAAAUUUUUUAACUUUUUUUAUUUAAUUCAUUUAUAUAUGUAUUUUUGAUCCUUUAUUAUGGAUUAAAAGAAUAAGUUACCUUAGGGAUAACAGCGUUAUUAUUUUAGAGAGUUCAUAUUGAUAAAAUAGUUUGCGACCUCGAUGUUGGAUUAAAAUUAGCUUCAGGGGUAGAAUAUUGAUGGCUAAGUCUGUUCGACUUUUAAAUUUUUACAUGAUCU
This 520-nucleotide ribosomal RNA is filed under the name Grandivesica pilbara. Its description in RNAcentral is "partial large subunit ribosomal RNA". It matches the Rfam family "Archaeal large subunit ribosomal RNA", at positions 1902 to 2675 of the family's 2987-position model. The record is from RNAcentral. Lineage: Eukaryota; Metazoa; Arthropoda; Insecta; Hemiptera; Miridae.